This 173-nucleotide non-coding RNA is filed under the name Pseudomonas lactis. Lineage: Bacteria; Pseudomonadati; Pseudomonadota; Gammaproteobacteria; Pseudomonadales; Pseudomonadaceae. The record is from RNAcentral. RNAcentral also lists the same sequence under 1 other name.
GUCGGCGUGGUCACCAUUCAACCGCAAGCCUAUACCCUGACCACCGAGCUGCCAGGCCGCACCACGGCCUUUCGCAUUGCGGAAGUUCGGCCGCAGGUCAACGGCAUCAUUCUCAAGCGCCUGUUCAAGGAAGGCGCCGACGUGAAGGAAGGGCAACAGCUCUACCAGAUCGA